AGCUGGUGAGGGGCUCAAGGGCAGCGACUGGAAGAGCUUCAGGAUGCGCUCCCAGGAGAGGCCUGGGUGUGACCCGGACCAGGGAAUCCAGAGGGCAAGGGAGAAGCUGGCCGGGGUGUUGGCAGCCAUCCAGGGAAGUGUGGCACUGGGACAAGUGUGUCCUGUGGUCCCGGGAGGGGAGGCGGCUGGCGUGGGGCCGCCUCUGCGGAAGGAGGCUGGAGGCAAGGAGGGAGGCCUGGACAGAGGUGUUGCAGGGGGAGAGUCCGUGUCCACCACCUGGCAGGCCUGUGGGAGGGCACCAGUCAGGGUCUGCUGGCUGCGGCUGGGGCAGCCCCGGGCCAUGCCACCCACAAAGGGCUGCUGCCUUAACAAACACCAGCGCAGGAGCAUGAGGCCACCGCCAAGCACCGAAGCCCCGUCCCCUGGCCUCCCCCACCCCCACCCAACCCUGCGGGGCUGGGCCAGGAGGGCCAGGACCGAAUGCCUCCAGGUUUGCUGUGCUGCCCCUGCCUGGGACAGGGCAUCCUAAUUUUGGGAUCAAGACUGUGCUUGCAACCUAAGGUGACUCUGGACUGUGUCAUCAAAAUGUGAGCAGAAAAUUCUGAGGCCUGGGUGGCACCAAACAAAAAUCAGACGGCUGCCACCCCCACCCGCAGAGCCUUCCCUUGGCACCUGCAGCCCUGGGCGGGACUGCGUGGAUCCCGUCCAGUGCCGCGUCCCAGGGCGGGGAGUUCGUGAGUGAGGCCGGGAGGGGGGCUGCGGUCCCGGCGGGGCCUCCGGGCGGAGUCACAGAGGAGGGAGGCCGUGGCUGAGGCUCAGGCUGAGGGCAGGUCCUGUCAGGGCAGGAGGAGGUGCCGUGGUCGGUGGGGACCCUCCGGAGCUCCCAAGGCGGGGCUGGCCUGGGUCCCUCAGCAGAUGUUCCGGGGCCAUCACUCCCCGACCCACAGGAGCCCGGGGACCUUCGGGCGCGUUGGGUGGGGGGCUGCUGGGGGAUGCAGACCCCCAAGGCCACCCCCGCCACCCACGACACAGCCGAGCGAGGGGUCUGGGCCGCAGAGCCUCAUGGCGCCCAGGUGGCAGAGCUGAGCUGGAGCCCGUGAGCAUCCCAGGGGGCCACCUGACCCCACAUCCCCGGUUCUCUGGAGCAGAAGUCAUGACGCGCCGGGUCCAGCCUUUAACAGCGGUGAAUCCCGUGACACACCCUGGUCCCUCUGGGCCCAUCCUCAGCGGUCACUCAGUGGUCCCCACGUGCACUUACACUGCGUGUGGCUGCCACACCCUCACCUCCAGGCCUCUCCACCUCCCCACACUGAGGCUCUGUCCCCUGAACACCAGCUCCCCGGCCCCUCCCUGGCUGGUGCCCACCCUCCCACCUGCCGUCCUGGUCACCCUGACGGCUCCGGGGGCCUCACAGAAGAGCAGUCACACAGAGCCUGUCCUUGAACCACCACCAACCACCCCAAAGCCCCUGACAAGCCGGUCACCACUGGGAAAUGUCACUGAGAAGGGACAGUGACAAGAAGUGCUCCAGGGCCCCUGCCUGCCUGCAGGCUGCUCGCUGCCCAGCAUCCAGAGCCACCGCUGUCCUCCGAGGGGUCGGGGCUGCACGGGCCCCGCCGACCCCACGCCUGGCCCUUGGCCCAGCCAGUCGCCCUGACUCCCGGCUGUUGAGGAUGUUGGCCCUGCCGCCAGCUCCCCACCCGAGCAUCCGGUUUCUGCGGAAUGUGUCAACCCCAGAGCGCAGCGUGCAAAACGGUUAGGGCGAAACGUGCCCACGUGGCCCCUGGCCUCAGGCGCCUGCAGCCCCUGCCUCCCUUUCCCCCGGGGCUCGCAGCAAACUCCUUGAAAGCCUCCCGGGCAGCCCCUCCUUCCCACCCUGCCUCCUGCAGAACGAGUGACAAACAGCAAUAGAAUCAAAAGUGGACCCUGCGGGAGGCUCCUUUGGCCGCCGCAGCAAAUCACCAGAGACAGUGAGGGGACAGCGGAAACAGGUUCUCUCACCGUCUGGGCUCCAAAGUCAGGCGAGGGCCGCGCUUCCUUCCGAGGUUCUGGGGGAGGGUCCUUCCUGCCUGCCCAGCACCGGGGCCUCCAGGCGUCCUGGGCUUGUGGCAUCCCUCAGCCUCUGCCUCUGGGCUCACACGGUCCCCUCUCCUCCCUGUGUCUGUCCCCUGUGUGUCACUGUCACUGAUUUAGGGCCCACCUGGGCAUCCAGGCUGAUCUCAUCUUAAGAUCCUUCAUUGAUCACAUCUGCAAAGAUUUUUUUCCUAAAUAAGGUCAUACACAGGUAGCAGGGGUGAGCACCUGGGCAUGUCUCUUUGGAGAUGCCAUUCAAGCCAUUCAUCCGCUGCUUUGACAUUGCCCCUGAUGAAGCAGGGCCCGCGGGAACCCCUGGUGAGGGACGAGGGAGGAUGGGCCCGGGGCACCUUCUCUGGCUAAGGCCUGGCACUGCCCCAGCCCACACGCAGGCGGGCCAGCUGUCCGCAUCCCGGGCUUCCCAUCUGUGUCACUUGUCACAACAGUGGCGCGGUAACUGACUAUGUCAUUCGUGGUGUGGUGGCCGAGGGCAUUGUCCAAGGCACGGAGCCUCACACGGGGUUCCUGGAGGCCGUCCAGGUCCAGGGGAUGACCAGGAGGGACUCCCACUGCGCACCUGCCAGAAGCCCCUCCCGCCCCACCCC
Manis javanica (Malayan pangolin) is the source of this 2678-nucleotide long non-coding RNA. RefSeq lists it as uncharacterized. The record is from RefSeq and is a predicted model, not a curated record. NCBI's taxonomy places the organism in Eukaryota, Metazoa, Chordata, Mammalia, Pholidota, Manidae.